This is a non-coding RNA of Salmo salar (Atlantic salmon), 72 nucleotides long. NCBI's taxonomy places the organism in Eukaryota, Metazoa, Chordata, Actinopteri, Salmoniformes, Salmonidae. The record is from Rfam.
UCCCAUGUGGUUCAGUUGGUAGAGCAUGGUGUUUGCAACGCCAGGGUUGUGGGUUCGAUUCCCACGGGGGAC